This is an RNA transcript of Mya arenaria, 4043 nucleotides long. It is a transcript of the gene named E3 ubiquitin-protein ligase TRIM71-like, with no coding region annotated. The record is from RefSeq and is a predicted model, not a curated record. The transcript has 4 exons. NCBI's taxonomy places the organism in Eukaryota, Metazoa, Mollusca, Bivalvia, Myida, Myidae.
CUGACCUAAAUAUGUCGCAGUAAAUGUUUAAGUGCAUGUUCUUUGCAAUUAUUACAGCGGAUACAGCAACAAAGGGUACUGCCUUCCUGCAUGUUAAUAAUCAGGAAUGGCUGAGGUUUCAGGUAGAACUAUUAAAUCCACAGGUGAAGGAGGAGAGGGCAGUGAGAAUUCAUCUGCCGAUGGAUCAAUAUACUGCCUCCCAUGCACACAAGACGGCACAAAGAUUUCGGCCGAAGGGUUUUGCAAGAACUGUAAGGAACAUUUAUGCUCUUCGUGUAUUAUGUACCACAAGAAAUUCGGGAUCACUAAGAAACAUUCAAUACUUGAUAAAGCACAAAUGCCCUCUACAACUUACAAAUCAGUCGACGGCGUGCAAUGCAGCGAACUAUGCCCUUACCACCCGAUGGAAGUUAUUAAAUAUUACUGCCCGACUCAAAACACAGUUCACUGCGGAGAUUGUGUUGCUUUUGAUCACCAAGGUCGCAAGUUUGCGUAUAUCCCUGAUGUAGCGAGGAAAUACGUAGAAAGUGAGGAAUUUAGUGAACUUAAAAACCAUGAUGUUGAUAAGGAAUUUACAAACUGUGUAACUGAAAUAGAGAAAUGUUUAAACGAGACUGAAGAAGCAGGCCAAUCCGAGCUUCAACAGAUUAGACAUGUCCGAGAUGAACUAAAUGCACACAUUACCAAACAGGAACAUGAACCUAAAAUAACAUUGAAUCAAAUAAAGGAAAGCCAGAAACAGUUCCUGAAUGACAGGAUGGCAUGUGUACAUGCAAAGAAAUCAGAAUUAGGGACGGAAACUGUUAACUUGUUGAAUAGUGAUGACGACAUCGCUAAGCUUUUCAUCAAAGGAAAGCAGUUUGAAGGAUUGUUAGCUGCCUGUAAAACAGCACUCGCUGACAUCAAAGAAGGUAGCGCACGUGGUUUAUAUCGCUUUCAGAGAAACCCUUUGAUAGACAAGCUCAUUCAGUCUACUGGGGCUCUUAAUGUUAUUGUGGAAGAAGGUUCUUCGAAAGAAAAAAACAUAAACAAGGGGAAAGGAUCAUUUUAAUAAGUUUAACCAGGUUUUCACAAAGUUUAACCUGGUUAUAUGAAUGGCAUGCGUCGUUGUACGGGCGGGCCGGUGAGAGGGCGGCGUCAAACUUUCCUAUGGUAUCGAAUAAAAUUAGUUAGGUUUGACAUACAGUGACCAAACGUGGUAUAUGGGAAGAGUUUAAGGAGCCCUUUUAUCGGAUUGCAUUUGGAGCCCCAAAGGGUCAAGGUUUACAAAUGGUGAGAUCAUCAGCUGCUAAAUCCUUUGACAUACUGCGGAAAGAAAUAAAACCAUUGGGAAAGAUUCCAUUGCCGCCUCAAUUACGGCGUACUCUUAUAGCAUCAUGUAUAACUGUCCUGUCCGAUGAGCGUCUGCUUAUUACCAAUAAUGGAGGUUUGUCAGUAACGAUGCUGGACACCAAAAGCAAUUUGCUGCUCUCGAGCUUGGCGCUUUCGAGCGAACCGUGGGAUUUUUGUCUUGUGUCGCGCGACAAGGGUGUCGUCACCAUGCCAUAUGAGACUAAGAAUAUGCAGUUCAUAUACAUCGGAGAUACCGAGCUUUCUCUUGAUUACAGUAUUAGUGUAUCAGGUAAUUGUUAUGGCGUAGAUUGUUUUGAAAAUAAAUUGUACGUAUGUUACGGUCAACAGAAGAAAAUUGAAGCCAUGACAAUGGAUGGUAAAGUCAUCCAUGAAGUAAGCAAUAAUACAACUGGAAAAUAUAUAUUCAACAGAUUGAAGUAUAUCAAAGUCCAGGCAACAGAAAGCUCUAACUUCAUAUAUGCAUCAGAUGCUGGACGAUUUACAAUAACACAAUUAAAUCUGAGUCUGCAAAUACUCAAAAACCUUGAAAACCCAAAGCUUGAAUGUCCUUUUGGAUUAGAAGUCGUUGAUUCUACUCAACUGCUAGUCUGUGGAAAGAACAGUGGCGUCGUUUUUGUGCUGAAUACUUCAAAUGGCGCAAUAACCAGGCUGCUUGGGAUACAUAACCCAGCUAGUGUUUGCUUUUGCCGAGACAUUGAGAAAUUGUACGUUGGUGUGGCAAAUAAAGAUGUAGCAAAUGACAUCUUGAAAUUUGAUAUUAAAUAGAAGCAAUUGGUAACGAUGAGAAGAUACAAUUGUUUAUCAUUUAUCUAAACAAGUAUACCUUUUGCAGCCGUUUCGCCAUAUUUUCAAAUUAAAAAGGUAUGUUCUCAAUGAAAAUGUAAAGAAACUUCGAAAACACAAGCACAUUACAAAACGUAGACAAGGAUUAAGACGUUUCCAAUCUUUCUGUACUUGUAAUGAGGCUUAUCGGUUUAACUUUGAAUAAGUGUUUGGUUGGUCGCCGAAAAUCCGACUGAACCCUCUAGUAAACACUGAUUGUUUUGGUAACGUCAACAUUUAUGCAAUACAAUGCGAUGCAGUGUAUCACUGGUAGAAUGUAUGUUAUGGUAUGAUCCUUGUGCAUUUCAACAAGCGAAUGGUUACAUGUUUUGCUUCUUGCUUUUUCCAGAUUUUAUAAAUCAUUUAUUGUAAUGACGUUUAUUAUUGGUAUUUGUCCCUGACCUGAAGUAGUUAUUACAUUGUUUGAUUUUUAACUCUUUUUGAACAGAAAUACUUAGACGUUGUAAAGAUCACAGUUAGAACGUGGCUGACCAAAGCCAAACUAUAAAACGUUUCAAUAUUUAUGCCUCACUUCGAAGAAGAGGGGUAUAUUGCUUUGCACAUGUCGGUCGGUCGGUCGGUAGGUCGGCCGGUCGGUCGGUCGGUAGUCCAAAGCUUGUCCGAGUGAUAACUCGACAAUUCCUGGACGUAUGGUCAUCAAACUAGACAUGAAGGUAAGGCCUGACCAGUAGAUGAUCCCUAUUGAUUAUAGGGCUCAUCGGGUCAGAGGUCAAGGUCACAGUGACCUUUUAAUAGAAAAAUAAUUUUAAAGCUUGCCCGAAUGAUAACUCAACAAUGCCUAGACCUAUGGUCAUCAAACUUGAUAUGGAAGUUGGGCCUGACCAGUAGAUAACCCCUAUUGUGAGGGGUCAUCGGGCCAAAGGUCAAGGUAACAGUGACCUUGAAUGGUAAAAGAUUGUCCGAGUGAUAACUCGACAAUGCCUGCACCCAUGGCCAUCAAACUUGACUUGGAGUUUUGGCCUGACCAGUCUAUGGCUCCUAUUGAUUUUAGGGGUCGUCGGGUCAAGGUCACAGUGACUUUCAACGAUAAAAGGUUGUCCGAGUGAUAACUCAACAAUGUCUGCACCCAUGGCCCUUAAACUUGACUUGGAUGUUGGGCCUGACCUGACCCCUAUUGAUUUUAGGGGUCAAAGGUCAAGGUCACAGUGACCUUGAAAGCAAACUCGACAAUUCCUGGACCUAUGGUCAUCAAACUUGACAUGAAGGUUGGGCCUAACCAGUAGAUGACCCCUCUUGACUCUAGGGGUCAUCGGGCCAUGGUCAAGGUCACAGUUACCUUUAACGCAAAAAAGUUUACAAAUCUUCUCCCAGUGAUAUCUCAACAAUGCCUUAACCUUUGAUCAUCAAACUUGGUAUGGAAGUUGGGCCUGACCAGGAGAUGACCCUCAUUGAUUAUAGGAGACAUUGGGUGAAAUAUCAAGGUCACAGUGACCUUGAAUGCGAAAACGUUUCAAGUGAUAAUUCGACAAUGCCUGCACCCAUGGCCCUCAAGCUUGACUUGGAGUUGUGUCUGACCUGUAGAUGACCCUGUAUGAUUUUUGGGGUCUUCGGGUCAAAGGUCGAGGGUACAGUGACCUUGAACGAAAAAAGCUUGUCAGUGUGAUAACUUGUCAAUGCCUGCGCCCAUGGCCCUCAAACUUGACAUUUAGAUUUUUGGUGACCAGCUGAUGACUCCUAUGGAUUAUGAGGUCAUAGAGUCAAAGGUCAUGGUCAUAACACACUCUUUCCUCAAACUUUGAAUGGUUAUAAUCUUAAAAAUGCCUCAACAGCAUCCAAUGUCUGUGACAAAUCAGUUAUCAUUUGGGUCCAUGCAUAUUUCAUUCAAUUGUCUAUAUAAUCCUGAUAAC